Molecule: small nucleolar RNA, 138 nt
Organism: Tachyglossus aculeatus (Australian echidna)
Lineage: Eukaryota; Metazoa; Chordata; Mammalia; Monotremata; Tachyglossidae
Source: RefSeq, a predicted model, not a curated record
AUCCUCUCGGGGUCGCAUCUGGUGAGUUUCCACUACUUUACCAGUCUCAGCUAUGGGAGGGAGAGUCAAGCAAAGGCCUACCCAUUCCAUUCCCAGCUUGGACAGAUGCUAGCGAGUGGAAGGCAAUCUGCUACAAGU